ACGUGUCAAACAACGCAUAUAUCUCUUUGCGUGUAAUAAAGGACGAGUUUUGUUUCAUUGCUGUGAAAAUAUUGACACGAUCUGUGCUUUGAAAUGAAUAAAUCAGUAGCAUUCAUCAUGAUAAUGAUGCUAAUGUCAACUAUGAUGUUUUCCCCAACCCUAUCACAUUAUGGGAAAAUUAUAGAUGAUAAAAGGUUAUUUAUGAUCGGCAAACCAUCCUUCGCAAAAAGCAGUUAUCUGUGUAACCAAAAACAUGAUGAAUAUAUCUAAUACCGGAACCUCACCUGCUAGCAUUAAACUGGAUGAUGUAUAUAAUCCACCUGCACUAUUUGGUUAUUCAACCAAAACCUUACAAUGUUGGAAUAUCCUGCGUGAUGGCUGAAAUAAAAAAAUCUAUAUAUUA
Molecule: long non-coding RNA, 403 nt
Organism: Saccoglossus kowalevskii
Lineage: Eukaryota; Metazoa; Hemichordata; Enteropneusta; Harrimaniidae
Source: RefSeq, a predicted model, not a curated record